Molecule: ribosomal RNA, 405 nt
Filed under: uncultured bacterium
Lineage: Bacteria
Description: bacterial SSU rRNA
Rfam family: Bacterial small subunit ribosomal RNA
Source: RNAcentral
AUUGAACGCUGGCGGCAGGCCUAACACAUGCAAGUCGAGCGAAUGAGGGUAGCUUGCUACCUGAUUUAGCGGCGGACGGGUGAGUAAUGUAUAGGGAGCUGCCCCGAUAGAGGGGGUGAUACCAGUUGGAAACGACUGUUAAAUUACCGCAUAAUGUCUACGGACCAAAUGUGUGGGACCUUUUGGGCCACAUGCUAUCGGAUGCACCUAUAUGGGGCAUUAGGCUAGUUGGUGGGGUAACGGCUCACCAAGGCGACGAUCCCUAGCUGGUUUGAGAGGAUGAUCAGCCACACUGGAAUCUGAGACACGGUCCAGACUCCUACGGGAGGCAGCAGUGGGGAACUAUUGGACAAUGGGCGCAAGCCUGAUCCAGCCAUGCCGCGUGUGUGAAGAAGGCCUCGGUUG